AACUCCCGCACCAGAAGGACCGUCGUGUCACCGAGCUGUUAAGAGAGCAUCCCUGCUUUGCUUCUGUUUCUUUGCUGAAAUAACCCUGCCAUGAGACGAAAGAAAACUAACAGCAUUUUACCGGCCAUGAGUGAAAGGACCUUAUGUAAGAGCUGCCUACGUCUUCCCUUUCCCCGUACAGCUGGAGGAAAGCUGAACACAUGCUUCCCCAGUGUGCCUCUUCUGUGGGCUGCGGUCGGGUCCAGCUGUGUGGGAGAUGCUGCAUUGGAUCGGUGCUGCCUUAACGGGCUGCGUGGCUCUAAACCAGCUAUGCCGAGGUACCCCAGCCCACCAGGCACCGUGGGGCGUGCGGGUGCCACGGGCAGGCGGGAUUGUGCUUUUCUCCUCUGCGCUGAUCUCUCAGAUGCUGAAAUUACCGCGGGAGACGUCCUGUUCUCCAGGAACGCUCACAGCCGGGAGAACCGAGCUGCGUUUGAAGCCACGGUUCCUCCUCUGUUACCCUGAAGGAAUUCUGCUUGUGCAUGCAGAGCCACAAAAGGGCUGUAGUGCUGAAUUUCCUUUGAUGCAAGAGAUAUUUAUUGGUAUUACUCACAUGUAAAUAGGCUUCCCUGCCUUUGCCUCUAAGAGAGGAUUUGAACAAUUUCCACAUGAGAAAUCCACUUGGAUGGUUGUUGAUUUGAAAACAAAGCUGGUUUCUAAAUUCUGACUUGGUUUCCCACAAGUUUGCUGCUCCUCUGCUCUUCCUUUUUCCAUUUUCUUUGUAAAUACAGAUUGACAUCCGUAAAAUUUCUGCCUAUUAGAAUUGUGCCUUCGUCAGCAUCUCUUCCUUCAGGAACUUUGUGUGAUAAUUUCUAGAAGCCAUUCCUUGUCUUCCAGAAGUCUAGUCUUAGAAAAUAAACAAACCCAGACAAAUGCAUUUUUAGUCUGGAAAGGCACAAAUAAGUAACCUGUACUUUUUAAAUCAGGCGCUGUAGAAAUGCUGAGCUUUAAGUCUUUGUCCUAGUAAUUAUUGUCAUCACUGUUGUUAUUAAAAGACAUAAGAUUUUAUUGCUGAU
Long non-coding RNA from Falco peregrinus (peregrine falcon), 1055 nucleotides. RefSeq lists it as uncharacterized. The record is from RefSeq and is a predicted model, not a curated record. Lineage: Eukaryota; Metazoa; Chordata; Aves; Falconiformes; Falconidae. The transcript has 3 exons.